GAAUACAUAGGUUAACGAGGCGAACCGGGGGAACUGAAACAUCUAAGUACCCCGAGGAAAAGAAAUCAACCGAGAUUCCCCCAGUAGCGGCGAGCGAACGGGGAGCAGCCCAGAGUCUGAAUCAGCUUGUGUGUUAGUGGAACGGUCUGGAAAGUCCGACGGUACAGGGUGAUAGUCCCGUACACCAAAAUGCACAGGUUGUGAACUCGAAGAGUAGGGCGGGACACGUGGUAUCCUGUCUGAAUAUGGGGGGACCAUCCUCCAAGGCUAAAUACUCCUGACUGACCGAUAGUGAACCAGUACCGUGAGGGAAAGGCGAAAAGAACCCCGGCGAGGGGAGUGAAAAAGAACCUGAAACCGUGUACGUACAAGCAGUGGGAGCACCUUCGGGUGUGACUGCGUACCUUUUGUAUAAUGGGUCAGCGACUUAUAUUCUGUAGCAAGGUUAACCGUAUAGGGGAGCCGCAGGGAAACCGAGUCUUAACUGGGCGUUAAGUUGCAGGGUAUAGACCCGAAACCCGGUGAUCUAGCCAUGGGCAGGUUGAAGGUUGGGUAACACUAACUGGAGGACCGAACCGACUAAUGUUGAAAAAUUAGCGGAUGACUUGUGGCUGGGGGUGAAAGGCCAAUCAAACCGGGAGAUAGCUGGUUCUCCCCGAAAGCUAUUUAGGUAGCGCCUCGUGAACUCAUCUUCGGGGGUAGAGCACUGUUUCGGCUAGGGGGUCAUCCCGACUUACCAACCCGAUGCAAACUACGAAUACCGAAGAAUGUUAUCACGGGAGACACACGGCGGGUGCUAACGUCCGUCGUGAAGAGGGAAACAACCCAGACCGCCAGCUAAGGUCCCAAAGUCAUGGUUAAGUGGGAAACGAUGUGGGAAGGCACAGACAGCCAGGAUGUUGGCUUAGAAGCAGCCAUCAUUUAAAGAAAGCGUAAUAGCUCACUGGUCGAGUCGGCCUGCGCGGAAGAUGUAACGGGGCUAAACCAUGCACCGAAGCUGCGGCAGCGACACUAUGUGUUGUUGGGUAGGGGAGCGUUCUGUAAGCCUGCGAAGGUGUGCUGUGAGGCAUGCUGGAGGUAUCAGAAGUGCGAAUGCUGACAUAAGUAACGAUAAAGCGGGUGAAAAGCCCGCUCGCCGGAAGACCAAGGGUUCCUGUCCAACGUUAAUCGGGGCAGGGUGAGUCGACCCCUAAGGCGAGGCCGAAAGGCGUAGUCGAUGGGAAACAGGUUAAUAUUCCUGUACUUGGUGUUACUGCGAAGGGGGGACGGAGAAGGCUAUGUUAGCCGGGCGACGGUUGUCCCGGUUUAAGCAUGUAGGCUGGUUAUCCAGGCAAAUCCGGAUAAUCAAGGCUGAGGUGUGAUGACGAGGCACUACGGUGCUGAAGUAACAAAUGCCCUGCUUCCAGGAAAAGCCUCUAAGCAUCAGGUAACAUCAAAUCGUACCCCAAACCGACACAGGUGGUCAGGUAGAGAAUACCAAGGCGCUUGAGAGAACUCGGGUGAAGGAACUAGGCAAAAUGGUGCCGUAACUUCGGGAGAAGGCACGCUGGUGUGUAGGUGAAGUCCCUGCGGAUGGAGCUGAGACCAGUCGAAGAUACCAGCUGGCUGCAACUGUUUAUUAAAAACACAGCACUGUGCAAACACGAAAGUGGACGUAUACGGUGUGACGCCUGCCCGGUGCCGGAAGGUUAAUUGAUGGGGUUAUCCGUAAGGAGAAGCUCUUGAUCGAAGCCCCGGUAAACGGCGGCCGUAACUAUAACGGUCCUAAGGUAGCGAAAUUCCUUGUCGGGUAAGUUCCGACCUGCACGAAUGGCGUAAUGAUGGCCAGGCUGUCUCCACCCGAGACUCAGUGAAAUUGAACUCGCUGUGAAGAUGCAGUGUACCCGCGGCAAGACGGAAAGACCCCGUGAACCUUUACUAUAGCUUGACACUGAACAUUGAGCCUUGAUGUGUAGGAUAGGUGGGAGGCUUUGAAGCGUGGACGCCAGUCUGCGUGGAGCCAACCUUGAAAUACCACCCUUUAAUGUUUGAUGUUCUAACGUUGGCCCCUGACCGGGGUUGCGGACAGUGUCUGGUGGGUAGUUUGACUGGGGCGGUCUCCUCCCAAAGCGUAACGGAGGAGCACGAAGGUUAGCUAAUCCUGGUCGGACAUCAGGAGGUUAGUGCAAUGGCAUAAGCUAGCUUGACUGCGAGCGUGACGGCGCGAGCAGGUGCGAAAGCAGGUCAUAGUGAUCCGGUGGUUCUGAAUGGAAGGGCCAUCGCUCAACGGAUAAAAGGUACUCCGGGGAUAACAGGCUGAUACCGCCCAAGAGUUCAUAUCGACGGCGGUGUUUGGCACCUCGAUGUCGGCUCAUCACAUCCUGGGGCUGAAGUAGGUCCCAAGGGUAUGGCUGUUCGCCAUUUAAAGUGGUACGCGAGCUGGGUUUAGAACGUCGUGAGACAGUUCGGUCCCUAUCUGCCGUGGGCGCUGGAGAAUUGAGGGGGGCUGCUCCUAGUACGAGAGGACCGGAGUGGACGCAUCACUGGUGUUCGGGUUGUCAUGCCAAUGGCACUGCCCGGUAGCUAAAUGCGGAAGAGAUAAGUGCUGAAAGCAUCUAAGCACGAAACUUGCCCCGAGAUGAGUUCUCCCUGAGACU
Molecule: ribosomal RNA, 2636 nt
Filed under: Klebsiella pneumoniae
Lineage: Bacteria; Pseudomonadati; Pseudomonadota; Gammaproteobacteria; Enterobacterales; Enterobacteriaceae
Description: partial 23S ribosomal RNA
Rfam family: Bacterial large subunit ribosomal RNA
Source: RNAcentral